GAUGAACGCUGACAGAAUGCUUAACACAUGCAAGUCCACUUGAACUUCGGUUUGGGUGGCGGCCGGGUGAGUAACGGGUAAAGAACUUGCCUCACAGCUAGGGACAACAUUUGGAAACGAAUGCUAAUACCUGAUAUUAUGAUUAUAUGGCAUCGUAUAAUUAUGAAAGCUAUAUGCGCUGUGAGAGAGCUUUGCGUCCCAUUAGCUAGUUGGAGAGGUAACAGCUCACCAAGGCGAUGAUGGGUAGCCGGCCUGAGAGGGUGAUCGGCCACAAGGGGACUGAGACACGGCCCUUACUCCUACGGGAGGCAGCAGUGGGGAAUAUUGGACAAUGGACCGAGAGUCUGAUCCAGCAAUUCUGUGUGCACGAUGAAGUUUUUCGGAAUGUAAAGUGCUUUCAGUUGGGAAGAAAAAAAUGACGGUACCAACAGAAGAAGUGACGGCUAAAUACGUG
This 454-nucleotide ribosomal RNA is filed under the name uncultured bacterium. RNAcentral describes it as "partial 16S ribosomal RNA". It matches the Rfam family "Bacterial small subunit ribosomal RNA", at positions 28 to 507 of the family's 1533-position model. The record is from RNAcentral.